Molecule: non-coding RNA, 364 nt
Filed under: Caballeronia glathei
Lineage: Bacteria; Pseudomonadati; Pseudomonadota; Betaproteobacteria; Burkholderiales; Burkholderiaceae
Description: Burkholderia glathei Bacterial large subunit ribosomal RNA
Rfam family: Bacterial large subunit ribosomal RNA
Source: Rfam by way of RNAcentral
AAGGGUAUGGCUGUUCGCCAUUUAAAGAGGUACGUGAGCUGGGUUUAAAACGUCGUGAGACAGUUUGGUCCCUAUCUGCCGUGGGCGUUGGAUAUUUGAAGGGGGCUGCUCCUAGUACGAGAGGACCGGAGUGGACGAACCUCUGGUGUACCGGUUGUCACGCCAGUGGCAUCGCCGGGUAGCUAUGUUCGGAAGAGAUAACCGCUGAAAGCAUCUAAGCGGGAAACUCGCCUUAAGAUGAGAUAUCCCCGGGGACUUGAUCCCCUUGAAGGGUCGUUCUAGACCAGGACGUUGAUAGGUCAGGUGUGGAAGUGCAGUAAUGCAUUAAGCUAACUGAUACUAAUUGCCCGUAAGGCUUGAUCCU